UCUGAAAUACACAGGGCAUCAUUACAAAGGUUGCCUGCAAAUAUGGAAUAUGUCAUAGAACACUAUAUGAAAUAGAAAAUGUUCUGGAUAAGAUGAGCCAAAAGUCUUAGCAUUAUCUUGGCAAACAUCACGCAAUCUUAAAUAUUGUGUGCGAAAACUUUAGAAAGAAAAUACGAUGAAAAGAGGGGAUCUUCCCAAAAACCAACAAGACAAUAGGCUUGAUAUUAUGGUGGCAUAUAUUACCUAAUUGGUUUCAGCAUAAAGUCGUCCAACCAAAGAAUAGUUAAGGUUUAGAGCAACUGUCCCAGUUUCAGCUAAGGGCAGGCUCUUGGAGUUUUUUGUCCAGAAUUUCAGUGGUUUCCGGCUUUUCAUAGUUUUCAACUUCUGCUUUGGGCAUGAAUUACAAAGAUCUCUUGAAAUUGAGCAGGUAAAACAAGAAGAAAAGGCAAUUCAGAGCACCUUGAAAUCAUGAAGUUCACAGUUCUUCCUUAUAUAAAGACAACGCGUGACAAACUUCUAUGUACGAUAUCAUUAAUGUAGAAGUUGUCUUCUUUUAUAUGUAUGUCAAAAUAAACUAGCAAAAUAAGACAACAACAGCAAGCUACUUUACCCAUGAUAGCACUAACUAUGAGGAAGACAUAAAAUGUAGCCCCCAUUAUGACUUAAAUUCCAAACAAUUCAAAGUCAUUUCAAAGAUUUUGUUGGCAUGCAAAAAUCGAAGUUAAUAAGAGCACAUGCAAGUCAAUUUGAAAAUUUAUACCAUAUAACAAUGCUUAGAUGAGUAGAGGAUGGCAUGAUCAAAGCAACAUUGGCCUGGCCCUGAAUAGCAGUCAACUAGCAUUCAAUAUCACAGCAAAGGCAAAGAUGAAAAUAUGAUGUGGCUGUAAAGAUCAGCGAGAAAUGACAAGAAAAUGGCAAGGAAAGCAAGAGGAAGAGUAAGGCAAAAAAGAAAUCGGUGAUGGAAGUUGACAGGGAGUGGCAGAUGUAGAGGCAAGUAAGCAUAGACUACGGGCAGGAUCCUGAUACGGGCAAGAGCAGAAAGGGUAUGCAGAUGUUAUGUGAGAUACUCCCAAAGUUCUGUUUAGCCAUAUUUAAAUUGGUGGUUUGCCAAAAUUGACUACGGGUAGGAUCCUGAUACUCCCAAAGCAUAGACUACGGGUAGGAUCCUGAUACGGGCAAGAGCAGAAAAGGUAUGCAGAUGUUAUGUGAGAUACUCCCAAAGUUCUGUUUAGCCAUAUUUAAAUUGGUGAUUUGCCAAAAUUGAACUCCACAAGUUAGGUUUCGAAGGUAUCAUAAAGUGAGUUUGGUUCCAAUUAGCCAUAGAACUACGAAGGUACCAUAAAGUGAGUUUGGUUCCAAUUAGCCAUAGAACUACUCCUGAUCAACAAGGAUAUUAUCAUACUAAGCAACCACAUGAAAUCCAAAAUAUACUGUACCACCUCUCAAACUAAGAAUCGUAUACUUUCAAUUCAUUUUGUCCCCUUCUUUUCGGAUUCAAUAUGACCAUAACAUUUCAGCAUUACUUCUAUUAAAGGCUUCGAGAAGCUGAGUCCUUAUUCAGCUUCUCUUAAGGGAUAGCUCAUAACAUUUUAUGACAGGAGAGAUUAUCAAAACAAAUAUACAUGGAUUAAACGCAGUAUAAUAUAAGAAAAGAAAAACAAAGCAUGAUGAUCAAACUGUAAAGGAAAAUUGGAUUGCCAGUGGCAGAGCUCACCACC
Molecule: long non-coding RNA, 1718 nt
Filed under: Ananas comosus (pineapple)
Lineage: Eukaryota; Viridiplantae; Streptophyta; Magnoliopsida; Poales; Bromeliaceae
Description: long non-coding RNA (ACOM_LNC002721)
Source: RNAcentral